CCAAAAUUCCCACGAUCUAAUCCUAGAGUCCGCCGCCCCAACCCAAGUCCCGCUCCGCCUUCUUCCCGGCGGCAGCCGGCGUCGCCGCCCCGACCCGAACUCCCGCUGCUCCUUCUUCCCGGCGGCAGCCCGCAUCACCACCCAUCCUUCUUCCCCGGCGGCAGACCGAAUCGCCGUGCGCCUCCUUCCUAGGCAGCAGCAUCGCCUUCUUCCCCUCCGGAAAAACCGCAUCCCGCGCCUCCACCUUCUUCCCCGGGCUGCACUAGGGCUUCACCACGCCGCCCAGGCUUCUGCUGUCCUAGGGUCGCCUUUCCCCUGCAGCCCAACACGACGCCUGCGGGGAAGUGGGUCACGUGCCGCCCAUACCUCCUAGCCUACGCGGCCCCGACUAGGACGCAUCCGCCCAUGCCUGCCCUGCUCGCCAGAGAAGGAGAGCAAGGCAGUGGGUCUCGCCUAGGUUCCCCUCCGAUUUGCUACAAGAUGAGAAUGCAUCUGCAGCAGUUCGCUGGAAGUCUUUUCUCAAUUCAAAUCUUCCCGUAUUUGUAGUUCGUUUUCUUAUGCAAUGAAGCCCCCUUCAUAGGUACAGACUAAGCCAUCGUAGGGUAAAGCAUUUCCUACGAUUUGGUUUGCUGCUUGCGUACUGCUUCAAGAAUUUUUGCUGGCUACUUAUGGGUGGCGCGUCCUAAACUCCCUCUGUCGUCGGCCUGAACUCUUGCUGGUGCAUGCCCAAACUUUCUGAAGGCGCUGGGUCUUGGCUGGCCAAGUAGAAGCUCACGUCCGGGCGCAUAUGGUCGAGUCUAGGCAGAAUCUCGUUUGGCAGCAUCACAUGCGUGAGAUGAACUAUACCGAGCACAUAUAUGAACUCCGGGUAGUGCGUCUGAAAUCAACCGCCAAUGGUUGCUGUGGAGCAGGCAGUCCGGUGGUGUGCGGUCAGGAAGCUAGUUCUGGCUCAUGGCCGGUCUGGUGAGACUCUGGUCCGUCAUGUGACCAGUGAGCUCAAAUAAUAGAUUUUGGGGAAGUUCAGAUUGUUACGGACUAAAGCCCACUGUGCAGCUAACAAGUAACCAAAACUUGAGCGUGAUUCUUUGAGUAGAAUUCUCACAUGGCAUCCCUGCAAAGAAGGAGUCAUGGGUAAUUUCUCCUACCGAGGCAAGCGUCAUGGUGGUCGCUUGCACUACAAUCAUUGCUAAGGCUGUGGCGUCCUCUUUGUCAGCCAAGUACUGGUGCGCCAACUAGUUCUUCAACGAGAGACGGUGUUGUUCAUGAGGAUUAAGAAAACACACACCAAAAUUGGAACACCAUUCUUUUCUUGUCUGGAGUUCACUUUCUAUAUGUGGGGAAUUCAGUACAAGUGCAUCUAAAAAAUGCAAUAGAAGAGUGUGGUUCUGAAGUUCACUAUUUUAUGAGUUGGAAGGUGAAGAACUUCCACGUAAAUUUGAUUAGCAAAAUUCCUCAAUACACGGCUGUAUUUUCUGCAGUUGGAAGGCGAAGAAACUGCAGGUAAAUUCGAUUAGCAAAAUUCCUCAAUACACUGAUGUAUUUGUGUUCUCUGCUACAGCGGGAAGCUCUUCCCCUCUGUUGUACUCUGCAUCUUUUUCUUUGAGCCAAGUUACUAUUGCUGCUGUUAACUUUGAGCGAAUGGGAAGUUCAGUUUUUAACGUGCUGAAGUUCAAUUCAU
Lolium perenne is the source of this 1678-nucleotide non-coding RNA. The record is from RefSeq and is a predicted model, not a curated record. Lineage: Eukaryota; Viridiplantae; Streptophyta; Magnoliopsida; Poales; Poaceae.